Long non-coding RNA from Mus musculus (house mouse), 1509 nucleotides. RefSeq annotates it as predicted gene, 36629. NCBI's taxonomy places the organism in Eukaryota, Metazoa, Chordata, Mammalia, Rodentia, Muridae. The transcript is spliced from 3 exons. The record is from RefSeq and is a predicted model, not a curated record.
GCAGCUCGAAGCGGAGGGAGGCAGUCGCAAGGCUGGCCUGGUACCAGGAAGCACCAACAGGGUGAGCAAGUUGUGACAGAGAACCACAGGAUAAAUGGUGUCAGAGACUCUUCACCUUUCACUGUUACUGUGUUACUGUUUUAAGGUAGGUCUUGCUAUAAUGGCUCCAAGCUGACUGACCUCAGACCUUUAACCCACUGACCUGUUUCCCAAACGGUGUGCCACAACAUUCAACUCUUCAAUUUUAACCAGUUCCAUCUGUCACUCUAUUUUUCUUUGCUGGGGCUCCAACCCAGGGCCUUACACUUGUGAGUGUUCUACCACUGUGCUACACCCUCAGCCCUGCCACUAUUUUCACUAGUACAUUUCGACGAUUAUCUGUCAGCCUUUCUGUCCUUUCUACCUUCUGAUCCUAAUUUUACCUUCCACACAUAAGGAAUAUAACAGUCUGAACUAGAGGCUCUCCUGUAAUGGCACUACCUGAAAAGCGUUUACCAAGCUCCCACAUAAAAGGCUGGAUUCAAGGCGCUCCGUGGUCACGUGACCACUGACUUGUCAGUUGUGCCACCGCUGCUUCGUGUUCGCUAUCCCUACUCUACCGAACUGAACUGCUGAUAGAUUCAUGAAAUGUCUGAGUGGAUCAAGCUGCCACUGCUAGCCUGUGAAGUGAACUGCAGAUUUCCAGACAACAGACAAAAGCUACUCCAAAGAAUCUUUCUAAACAUGUCCACAUCCCCCGUAUCUUUCAUUUUCCACAACCUCUGGUGGGUGGUGGACUACAAGGGAGGUUAAAGUGUUUAAGAAUCAUCAUUAAAAAUAGGAUUUGAAAACAGUUACACAUGUUCGUGAGGACCAGAGGACUUUGGAGUUUUAGCCUUGGGACCUCAGGUUUGGUGCUCUAACUGUUGAACCAUCUCAUCAGCCUUCCAAUUUUAGGCCAAAAUUAUGUCAUUACCAUGGGACAAUUUUUAAAAGUUCCUUCUAGAUUUUCCGCUCCACGAGCUGUAGUUUCUUCAGGGUCACCUCUCUUCAGCAAGUGACUACAGAGCUAAAAGUGGGUACCAAGUCUACACUACAACAAUGAUACUUUAUUCACGGAUAUGUAACAAUUUACAUAUUUAGUCCAGGAAGUAGCUUGUCUAAUAUGCAGUUUUUCUUUGUCCCACCCCUACCCCCAAACCCCCAUCCCCGCCCAAAACAAGGUUUCAGUUUCUCUAUUUAACCACCCUGACUGUUCUGGAACUCACUUUGCUAGCUAGGCAAACUCAAGAGAUCUGUCUACCUCUGCUGGGAUUUAAGGGGCAUACACCACCACUGGCCAGCAUGUGCACUAGUUUCUAUCACCAAAAAAACCUGGGGUAGUGGUACAUGUCCGCAAUUCCUGGACAACAUUGAAAGUGGAGGUAAACUCCACUAUAUCUCAAGAUGGUCAGCAUGGCAAUGGUGGCACACGCCUUUAAUCUCAGCACUUGGGAGGCAGAGGCAGGUAGAUUUCAGAGUUCUAGCUUG